UACGUAGGGUGCGAGCGUUGUCCGGAUUUAUUGGGCGUAAAGGGCUCGUAGGCGGCGUGUCGCGUCGGGAGUGAAAGCCCGUUGCUUAACGGCGGGUUGGCUUUCGGUACGGGCAUGCUGGAGUGCGGCAGGGGAGACUGGAAUUCCUGGUGUAGCGGUGGAAUGCGCAGAUAUCAGGAGGAACACCGGUGGCGAAGGCGGUUCUCUGGGCCUUACCUGACGCUGAGGAGCGAAAGCGUGGGGAGCGAACAGG
This 253-nucleotide ribosomal RNA is filed under the name uncultured bacterium. RNAcentral's name for it is "partial 16S ribosomal RNA". It matches the Rfam family "Bacterial small subunit ribosomal RNA", at positions 524 to 776 of the family's 1533-position model. The record is from RNAcentral.